GACUGUCGGAUCGGGUCCUUGGGGUCCAGUCAGAUCAUUCAAGCGUGCAUGUGGCGGGCAGGCAGGCUGCCUGAUGCAUUCCGACUUCCUGAUGUUUCCGUCCGUCUGU
RNAcentral lists this non-coding RNA (109 nucleotides) under Chromera velia. The record is from RNAcentral. Lineage: Eukaryota; Chromeraceae.